This 448-nucleotide ribosomal RNA is filed under the name Daphnia sinensis. Its description in RNAcentral is "partial 16S ribosomal RNA". It matches the Rfam family "Bacterial large subunit ribosomal RNA", at positions 1934 to 2602 of the family's 2925-position model. Lineage: Eukaryota; Metazoa; Arthropoda; Branchiopoda; Diplostraca; Daphniidae. The record is from RNAcentral.
CAGUAUUCUGACUGUGCUAAGGUAGCAUAAUCAUUAGUCUUUUAAUUGAAGGCUGGUAUGAAUGACGAGACGAGAAAAUAGCUGUCUCUAAAAUAAAUCUUGAAUUUUAUUUCUAAGUGAAAAAGCUUAGAUAAUUUUAAAGGACGAUCAGACCCUUUGGAGCUUUAUUUAUUUUAAAUUUUAAUUUAUUUUAGAUUAUUGAAUGAAUAAUAAAUUUUGUUGGGGCGACAGAGAGUAAUAAAUACCACUCUUUUUUUUAAACAAUUAUAAUUGAAAAAUUGAUCCUUAAAGUAAGAUUAAAAGACUAAGUUACCCUAGGGAUAACAGCGUAAUCUUCUUGGAGAGUUCAAAUCGAUAAGAAGGUUUGCGACCUCGAUGUUGGAUUAAGAGAUUGACAAGGUGCAGAAGUUUUGUUGGAAAGUCUGUUCGACUUUUAAUUUCUUACAUG